ACUCCUACGGGAGGCAGCAGUGGGGAAUAUUGCACAAUGGGCGCAAGCCUGAUGCAGCAACGCCGCGUGAGGGAUGACGGCCUUCGGGUUGUAAACCUCUUUUAGCAGGGAAGAAGCGAGAGUGACGGUACCUGCAGAAAAAGCACCGGCUAACUACGUGCCAGCAGCCGCGGUAAUACGUAGGGUGCAAGCGUUAUCCGGAAUUAUUGGGCGUAAAGAGCUCGUAGGCGGUUUGUCGCGUCUGCUGUGAAAUUCCGAGGCUCAACCUCGGGCUUGCAGUGGGUACGGGCAGACUAGAGUGCGGUAGGGGAGAUUGGAAUUCCUGGUGUAGCGGUGGAAUGCGCAGAUAUCAGGAGGAACACCGAUGGCGAAGGCAGAUCUCUGGGCCGUAACUGACGCUGAGGAGCGAAAGGGUGGGGAGCAAACAGGCUUAGAUACCCUGGUAGUCCACCCCGUAAACGUUGGGAACUAGUUGUGGGGUCCUUUCCACGGAUUCCGUGACGCAGCUAACGCAUUAAGUUCCCCGCCUGGGGAGUACGGCCGCAAGGCUAAAACUCAAAGGAAUUGACGG
RNAcentral lists this ribosomal RNA (571 nucleotides) under Microbacterium sp. ApTucson-A36. RNAcentral describes it as "bacterial SSU rRNA". It matches the Rfam family "Bacterial small subunit ribosomal RNA", at positions 335 to 916 of the family's 1533-position model. The record is from RNAcentral. RNAcentral also lists the same sequence under 1 other name. Lineage: Bacteria; Bacillati; Actinomycetota; Actinomycetes; Micrococcales; Microbacteriaceae.